Molecule: transfer RNA, 73 nt
Filed under: Chamaesiphon sp. CSU_1_12
Lineage: Bacteria; Bacillati; Cyanobacteriota; Cyanophyceae; Gomontiellales; Chamaesiphonaceae
Description: tRNA-OTHER
Rfam family: tRNA
About the family: Transfer RNA (tRNA) molecules are approximately 80 nucleotides in length.
Source: RNAcentral
GGGGCUGUAGCUCAGUAGGAUAGAGCGAUCGCUCCUAAGCGAUAGGCCGUGGGUUCGAUUCCCGCCAGUCCCG